Molecule: long non-coding RNA, 1369 nt
Filed under: Homo sapiens (human)
Lineage: Eukaryota; Metazoa; Chordata; Mammalia; Primates; Hominidae
Description: HSALNT0401320
Source: RNAcentral
GACAGCUUGGGCCCAUCGCAGACCGGAGGUGAAUCAUCUUCGGGGCUCCAUUCUUUUUCAUGUCUGGACGGGGCUAAAACUCUGUUGACAACACAGGCACAAGUCACAACUUGUUAUACCACGUGACACCUUCCGAGCAGCGGAGGCUUCCCUCUACUCUAGGAGUCACACAAAAGGCCAAAGGUGCACGAUUCUCCUCGGGGCUCCUUCCUCUCCGCUCCCUUCCCAACCAAGAAGGACACGCAGAACUUUGCUGGAGAGAUCAAUGUUUCUAGAACACCCUGAAACAAAAGUCCUGAUAUGUGCAAAUAAUACACACCCACAAAAGAAAAUAACCUCUUUGCGCUGACACCCUGCCUCUCCGAAGAGGACGUUUUCUCCCUACUUGGAAUUUCCAUCAGCACCUGGGUUGGUACCAAACUCAGGACGUGGUGGACACGCUCUCUGACUCUGUAUUUCAGGAAGCUGCCAAUCAAUAGAGAUUUAAAGCUUCUGACUUCCGCAUAUCCGAAUACCAGGUAGGAAACAUCUGCUUUGGAGUAAGAGAAGGCCCCAGUACCUGCUUUUUCUCCGGAACCGUGAGAGGGAGCCAUGGGGAGGAGACCAGAAUUUCAGCCUUCCUAUCUCCCUUUACCACAAGGACGCCUUGAGGACCCAAGUCAAAUUGAGAUCUUUCAACCACGGGCUCGGAAACCCGCUUUCUGUGUCCACUUCAACCAAACACGUCUAACAGGCAGGAAUUUAGAGGUGGCCAAGGUAACGAGAACUAGUGGUUUUCACCCUGUUUGGUGACCUUCAUAGGGCUUAUUUAUGCACUUCAAGCGCAUGACCUAAUACAUGUUGGUUUGGCUUCUCUUCUCGUAAUAGCAGCCUGUAAAAAGCUUUUGAGAAUUCCCCGUGUUUUCUCAUUUUGGGUCAAGAAAAUAAAAUCGAUAUCUAAGUAACCUUAAAAAAAUGGCCUGCACAAUCUAAAAAUUUGGAAUGUUUCCACUAGGACUAAGGAUAUCUCUGAAAGCCUCAAAGAUCAUCAAAAUGAAGUCCAACAUUUGCUGUUUUUAAGGUGAGAUAUUUGGUAACGGAGUAUGAGAGAACUGGCUAAGGGGGCUUUUUGACAUAAGUCAAACAAUGACAUUUAAAACUCACGUAAAAGCAAUUACUGUGUGGAAUUUUUCUGUGUUUUUCUCAUUUCUUAAACAGAAGUGUAUAUGUUUUCAGCAUAGCUUCUUGCUGUAAUUUUCUUUCUUGACAAACCCACAUCUUACCAUGAAACCCAAAGUAUGCAUGCUGCAGAAACAAUAAUGGUUGAAACAGACCCGGCUGUCUCUGGCAUGAUUUUUCUUUACAAAAUUAAAAUGUCUUUUGGCUAAUA